CUGAAUGCAAUCCUGACCGGAUGGCCACGGGGUGUCUGUCAUGCUCAAACUUUGGUAAAUAAAUCCACACCUGUAUAAGAAAGCCUAAACCAACACUAUGUGUGACAAUAACAUUCCCUAAGACACAUGCAAGACAUGAUUAAGGCUAUUUUGCAAGAUGGCUUAUGUGGCUAAAAGGUGGCUAGAAAUGCAAAAUUUGGCUAAGACCCCGCAAAGCCAAGAACAUAAGAUUUACUAGGAAAACCGGACCCUAUGUGGGUUGCCUACGUAUCAUGCCCCGAAAGACGAGAAUCAGGUAUGCGUAGUUCGGGCAGAUUGGAUACGGGCGAGAAAUAAAAAUAACAACUAAUUUAGAGAAAAAUAUAUUUUUUUUUCUUCUUUUCUUUCUCUUUUUUUUGAAAAAUGAUGAAACAUGUAAACUCUUUUUUUUAUUUUCUUUUUCCAUUUUUUUUUUAUUUUUGAUUUUUGAAAAAUGAUGAAAAUGUACAAAAAUCUUUUGAAUUUUUCAAGCUCUUUUUUUCUUAAUAAAACGUAAUAGAAAACAUAAUUAGGCCCCACUCGCUUUAUCUUCACACUUCACCCUCUCCUUUUCUUUUUUUUUUCUUUUUUUUUCUUUUUUCAUUGUUUUUUUCGUUUUUUCAUUUACCCUCAGCUAUCAUUGGUCCGCCAAGUGACCCUUUUACCCUUGAAUAAAUGCAACAUGUAGCACAUAAGAUGCAUCAGGAUGGUCUUUUAUUUUGGGUACAUCUGUCCUAGACGGACCCAACCCCUGUGUUGAGUCCCCAAAGUCAAAAUGCACAUGAUGCAAGCAAGCGCUCCUACUAGGGAUCCGGCAUGAGGCCAUGUUUUUCUAGGUUUAAAUCUUGGGGUUUUGUUCUAGACUUGGGUACCCGAGCGAACAACUGGGGCCAAAGAGGGGGCGAUGUACCGGGAGCACUGAAGUCUACCCGGCCUUGUCGCUUGCCCAGCCUCGUUCUAUUUGGUAUAAUUUCUAUAGAAAAGCGGGUCACGCGAACGUGUGCACCAUUUUCAGAAGACUCAGAGGGGCGGCGAAAGAAGACAGUUAUAUACAACUCAAACAAUAUUAAAGCGGUAAACAAAUAGCAUUUAGCACAAAAGGUUCACAGAAUACAGUAAUAUCAACAAUAAAUAAAGCCAAGUAAAAAUAAUGUUAACAAGCUCGAAUUCUUGAACCCUGAACCAGAGAUUCUGGGUUCUUGUCCCCAUUAGAGUCGCCAGAGCUGUCACACCUCCUUUGUUUACACACACCCCCGUAAAGGGUGUAUAAGUAUAAGGGAGUUUUUCCAAUUAAAGAACAAUCGAAACGGGAUUUAUUUAUUAAAAUUCAGAGUCGCCACUUGGGAGAUUUAUGGUGUCCCAAGUCACCGGUAAAAAUUCCGAAUCGAGGAAAGAUUGACUCUGUUUAACAGUCCGCGAACCAGAAAUCCAGGUAAGGAAUUCUGUUAAUCUGGGAGAAGGUGUUAGGCACUCCCGAGUUCCGUGGUUCUAGCACGGUCGCUUUGAUUAUACUUGACUUAACUAAAUUGUUUAAUUACUCAUUUUAGAACCUAUGGGCUUUUAACUUUUACCGCUUUUUAAUUAAAUUUUUUUUAUCUUGAAACGGGUCACGCGUACGUGUACCCAUUUGUUUGGCGCGUCGAAAAUCAUGUCACGCGAAUGUGUCCACAAUUAGUAACGCUAUAUUAUUAUUAAGAGAAUUUGGCUGAAGUUGUGCGAACACAUACUCCGGUUUUGUUUUUCGAAAUCGUAGACGUGUCACGCGAACGUGUCCAUAACCACGAUAGUAUAUUAACGUGCCUAAAGCAAACUACGAACAUUUGUCGUUUUAUAUCUAAGUUAUAAGAAAUUAAUACGAGGGCCAUGUAUGAUUAAAAGGUGGAUGGCACACCUCGGGCUAUAUGAACUAAUUUAAUUAAUGAGGACUAUAUUAAUAACAAAUUUAUUAUUUUGCGAAAAUUUGGUCGAAGUUGCGCGAAUGCAUACUCCGGGUUUGUCUUUAAAAAUCGUAACUAUGUCACACGAACGUGUACACAAUCACGACGAUAAAUGUAAAAUGCACAUAAAUCAUACUACAAUGUUCUGAAUAUUACUGGCCUACUAACGAUCAAAACAAAAUAAACAAGGCAACAAAAUGUAAUCUUAAUCAAUAAGAAUUACUACUGCUACUAGCGAGAUGACAUUGACCAUUCCCUCGAUUCAAAACAAUUCCCUGCUUUCCAAUCUAUUAAACCUAGUUCUUUCACGUUCAUCAAAAGGAGAGAAUUACCAAAGCUUUCACAUACACAAACAUAACAAAACUUGGGCAUCGACGAUGAAUAAAGUGAAAUUCAAUAUCUCUCCUUCUCAAAAUAAACAUAGCAAUCACCCAAAAAUACAUCUCUAACAUGAUGUGAGCAAUAGACACAAGAGAACAUCAAGUAACAUGACUAAAUACGUGAUAAGACAUGAAAUCAGGACAAACUUCGUACCAAAUAUGUAGGCAAUGAGGGACAAGGGAGGGAAAAGAAAUCCAGCUUCAUAUAAUGCUUUGGAAUUAACAAAUAUAAAUCAAAUAGUAGCUAAUCUUGAAUCAGGUAGAAGCUAUGCAUCAUAAACUAAAUCCAUACAAAUGAAAUAAAAUCACUUAAACAUUCAAAUCUUUAAAGGGAAGAGAUGGUUAGAAAUAGACCUGAAACCCAAGAAAAGUCUUUAACGAUUUGAUAAAGCAACUUUAUACACAGAGAAUUAUCUUCUAGCACCAAUGUCCAAUGAAACCUUAUCAACAAAAUCCGAAUUAGAGACCUCGCCGUGAACCUCAACGAGCUCAAAUUAAGAACUUCGCUGCCAAUAAAACGCCAAAUCAGAAUCGACGACUCAAACAAACUUUACUCGGAACUCAUUUGUGAUCUACGUUGUUGUUCUAUAUAUUGGGUAUUUGGAGGUGUGAUUAACAUUGGGAUUUGGGGCUAUUUUUGGAUAGUUUUUACCAUUGUUUUUGAGGUGAUUUUGGGGUUCUCCGGUGACUGAUUUUGGACUAUUUCACAUGGUUAACUAGCUGUAUUUUUAUGGCUUCUCAUGGUCUGUUGUUUGAAUGGAGAAGAAGUAGUUCAGGGGUGGGGGAUCUCUUGUUGGGUUAUGCGGCUGAUUGUCUGUGUGAUUUGAACAGAGGGUCGUUGUGGUGGAGCGAGGAAGACGAAAUACAGGGGGGGUGGGGGGUCGUGAAGAAGAUGACGCAGAGGGGUGAGGUCAUUUUCUUCUUGGCGUUAUCAACGCAGCUUUUAGCUGUUUCUGUUCGUUCUCGUUCCUGCCUUUUUCGUUAUUAUCGUGCGCAGCUUUGCUGCUUUCUCGUUUC
This 3352-nucleotide long non-coding RNA is filed under the name Nicotiana tabacum (common tobacco). Its description in RNAcentral is "long non-coding RNA (NTAB_LNC003338)". Lineage: Eukaryota; Viridiplantae; Streptophyta; Magnoliopsida; Solanales; Solanaceae. The record is from RNAcentral.